This 120-nucleotide ribosomal RNA is filed under the name Branchiostoma floridae (Florida lancelet). Lineage: Eukaryota; Metazoa; Chordata; Leptocardii; Amphioxiformes; Branchiostomatidae. The record is from RNAcentral.
UGUUGCAGAUAAUGUGGAAAUCUUAAUACUCCCGAUCCAUCGAUCUCGGAAGUUAAGCAACGUGCAGUUCGGUCAGUUCUUGGAUGGGAGACCACCAAGGAUGCCCAGAUGCUGCAGCCU